This 1582-nucleotide ribosomal RNA is filed under the name Mus musculus (house mouse). RNAcentral's name for it is "16S ribosomal RNA". It matches the Rfam family "Bacterial large subunit ribosomal RNA". RNAcentral also lists the same sequence under 2 other names. The record is from RNAcentral. Lineage: Eukaryota; Metazoa; Chordata; Mammalia; Rodentia; Muridae.
ACUAAUCCUAGCCCUAGCCCUACACAAAUAUAAUUAUACUAUUAUAUAAAUCAAAACAUUUAUCCUACUAAAAGUAUUGGAGAAAGAAAUUCGUACAUCUAGGAGCUAUAGAACUAGUACCGCAAGGGAAAGAUGAAAGACUAAUUAAAAGUAAGAACAAGCAAAGAUUAAACCUUGUACCUUUUGCAUAAUGAACUAACUAGAAAACUUCUAACUAAAAGAAUUACAGCUAGAAACCCCGAAACCAAACGAGCUACCUAAAAACAAUUUUAUGAAUCAACUCGUCUAUGUGGCAAAAUAGUGAGAAGAUUUUUAGGUAGAGGUGAAAAGCCUAACGAGCUUGGUGAUAGCUGGUUACCCAAAAAAUGAAUUUAAGUUCAAUUUUAAACUUGCUAAAAAAACAACAAAAUCAAAAAGUAAGUUUAGAUUAUAGCCAAAAGAGGGACAGCUCUUCUGGAACGGAAAAAACCUUUAAUAGUGAAUAAUUAACAAAACAGCUUUUAACCAUUGUAGGCCUAAAAGCAGCCACCAAUAAAGAAAGCGUUCAAGCUCAACAUAAAAUUUCAAUUAAUUCCAUAAUUUACACCAACUUCCUAAACUUAAAAUUGGGUUAAUCUAUAACUUUAUAGAUGCAACACUGUUAGUAUGAGUAACAAGAAUUCCAAUUCUCCAGGCAUACGCGUAUAACAACUCGGAUAACCAUUGUUAGUUAAUCAGACUAUAGGCAAUAAUCACACUAUAAAUAAUCCACCUAUAACUUCUCUGUUAACCCAACACCGGAAUGCCUAAAGGAAAGAUCCAAAAAGAUAAAAGGAACUCGGCAAACAAGAACCCCGCCUGUUUACCAAAAACAUCACCUCUAGCAUUACAAGUAUUAGAGGCACUGCCUGCCCAGUGACUAAAGUUUAACGGCCGCGGUAUCCUGACCGUGCAAAGGUAGCAUAAUCACUUGUUCCUUAAUUAGGGACUAGCAUGAACGGCUAAACGAGGGUCCAACUGUCUCUUAUCUUUAAUCAGUGAAAUUGACCUUUCAGUGAAGAGGCUGAAAUAUAAUAAUAAGACGAGAAGACCCUAUGGAGCUUAAAUUAUAUAACUUAUCUAUUUAAUUUAUUAAACCUAAUGGCCCAAAAACUAUAGUAUAAGUUUGAAAUUUCGGUUGGGGUGACCUCGGAGAAUAAAAAAUCCUCCGAAUGAUUAUAACCUAGACUUACAAGUCAAAGUAAAAUCAACAUAUCUUAUUGACCCAAAUAUAUUUUGAUCAACGGACCAAGUUACCCUAGGGAUAACAGCGCAAUCCUAUUUAAGAGUUCAUAUCGACAAUUAGGGUUUACGACCUCGAUGUUGGAUCAGGACAUCCCAAUGGUGUAGAAGCUAUUAAUGGUUCGUUUGUUCAACGAUUAAAGUCCUACGUGAUCUGAGUUCAGACCGGAGCAAUCCAGGUCGGUUUCUAUCUAUUUACGAUUUCUCCCAGUACGAAAGGACAAGAGAAAUAGAGCCACCUUACAAAUAAGCGCUCUCAACUUAAUUUAUGAAUAAAAUCUAAAUAAAAUAUAUACGUACACCCUCUAACCUAGAGAAGGUU